CCUAAAGUGGCUAGUGAAGAGGCUAGAGAAGAGGCUAGAGAAGAGGCUAGAGGGGUGACCAGAGAGGAGUUGGAAAUUAUGUUCAAGGGCUUAGCUGACUGCAUGAAAAAAAGGUUUAAUAAGUGCAUGAGAGAGUUUAGGAAGUUGUCCGAUAGAUUGGAAACUGUGGAGAAGAAGGUUGGUGUCACCAAUCAGGCUACCCCUCCAC
Molecule: long non-coding RNA, 208 nt
Filed under: Brassica napus (rape)
Lineage: Eukaryota; Viridiplantae; Streptophyta; Magnoliopsida; Brassicales; Brassicaceae
Description: long non-coding RNA (BNAP_LNC018016)
Source: RNAcentral